UGGGGAAUUUUGGACAAUGGGCGAAAGCCUGAUCCAGCAAUGCCGCGUGUGUGAAGAAGGCCUUCGGGUUGUAAAGCACUUUUGUCCGGAAAGAAAUCCUUGGCUCUAAUACAGUCGGGGGAUGACGGUACCGGAAGAACAAGCACCGGCUAACUACGUGCCAGCAGCCGCGGUAAUACGUAGGGUGCAAGCGUUAAUCGGAAUUACUGGGCGUAAAGCGUGCGCAGGCGGUUUGCUAAGACCGAUGUGAAAUCCCCGGGCUCAACCUGGGAACUGCAUUGGUGACUGGCAGGCUAGAGUAUGGCAGAGGGGGGUAGAAUUCCACGUGUAGCAGUGAAAUGCGUAGAGAUGUGGAGGAAUACCGAUGGCGAAGGCAGCCCCCUGGGCCAAUACUGACGCUCAUGCACGAAAGCGUGGGGAGCAAACAGGAUUAGAUACCCUGGUAGUCCACGCCCUAAACGAUGUCAACUAGUUGUUGGGGAUUCAUUCCUUAGUAACGUAGCUAACGCGUGAAGUUGACCGCCUGGGGAGUACGGUCGCAAGAUUAAAACUCAAAGGAAUUGAC
This 565-nucleotide ribosomal RNA is filed under the name uncultured bacterium. Its description in RNAcentral is "partial 16S ribosomal RNA". It matches the Rfam family "Bacterial small subunit ribosomal RNA", at positions 355 to 914 of the family's 1533-position model. The record is from RNAcentral.